This 300-nucleotide unclassified non-coding RNA is filed under the name uncultured fungus. Its description in RNAcentral is "sequence contains 5.8S rRNA gene, ITS2". The stretch from base 1 to 83 matches the Rfam family "5.8S ribosomal RNA", at positions 70 to 154 of the family's 154-position model. The record is from RNAcentral. Lineage: Eukaryota; Fungi.
AAUAAGGUACAGGUGAGUCAUCGAAUCUUUGAACGCACAUUGCACCCGGUGGUAUUCCGCCGGGUAUGCCUGUCUGAGCGUCAUUUCUACCCUCGAGCACUGCUCGGUGUUGGCGGAUUGCCUAGCAACCGCUGAAAAUCAACGGCGGUGGCCCCUAUGUCCCUGUAUAGUACUAUUCUUGCAGUGGUUAUAGCGGUCUACCAGUCUCCUGUCGGCGCCGUAAGAAGCGCUACACCUUGAAACUCGACCUCAGAUCAGGUAGGAAUACCCGCUGAACUUAAGCAUAUCAAUAAGCGGAGG